AACCCAUGGUGAAGGAACAUUAUUAAUAAAUCAUUGCAUCUCUCCCAUGCAUCAUAUAAGGUCUCUAACUCGAUCUGCACAAAAGAAGAGAUGUCAUUCCUCAACUU
This is a small nucleolar RNA of Gossypium raimondii (Peruvian cotton), 107 nucleotides long. It matches the Rfam family "Plant small nucleolar RNA R71". Rfam says of the family: R71 is a member of the C/D box family of snoRNAs containing the C (UGAUGA) and D (CUGA) box motifs. The record is from Rfam. NCBI's taxonomy places the organism in Eukaryota, Viridiplantae, Streptophyta, Magnoliopsida, Malvales, Malvaceae.